GUGCUCGCUUCAGCAGCACGUAUACUAAAAUUGGAACGAUACAGAGAUUAGCAUGGCCCCUGCGCAAGGAUGACACGCAAAUUCGUGAAGUGCUCCACAUUUUU
Molecule: small nuclear RNA, 104 nt
Filed under: Cervus hanglu yarkandensis (Yarkand deer)
Lineage: Eukaryota; Metazoa; Chordata; Mammalia; Artiodactyla; Cervidae
Source: RNAcentral